GACGAACGCUGGCGGCGUGCCUAAUACAUGCAAGUAGAACGCUGAAACUUGGUGCUUGCACCGAGCGGAUGAGUUGCGAACGGGUGAGUAACGCGUAGGUAACCUGCCUGGUAGCGGGGGAUAACUAUUGGAAACGAUAGCUAAUACCGCAUAAGAGUAGAUGUUGCAUGACAUUUGCUUAAAAGGUGCAAUUGCACCACUACCAGAUGGACCUGCGUUGUAUUAGCUAGUUGGUGGGGUAACGGCUCACCAAGGCGACGAUACAUAGCCGACCUGAGAGGGUGGUCGGCCAAACUGGGACUGAGACACGGCCCAGACUCCUACGGGAGGGAGCAGUAGGGAAUCUUCGGCAAUGGACGGAAGUCUGACCGAGCAACGCCGCGUGAGUGAAGAAGGUUUUCGGAUCGUAAAGCUCUGUUGUAAGAGAAGAACGAGUGUGAGAGUGGAAAGUUCACACUGUGACGGUAUCUUACCAGAAAGGGACGGCUAACUACGUG
RNAcentral lists this ribosomal RNA (497 nucleotides) under uncultured bacterium. RNAcentral's name for it is "partial 16S ribosomal RNA". It matches the Rfam family "Bacterial small subunit ribosomal RNA", at positions 28 to 507 of the family's 1533-position model. The record is from RNAcentral.